RNAcentral lists this ribosomal RNA (449 nucleotides) under uncultured bacterium. RNAcentral describes it as "bacterial SSU rRNA". It matches the Rfam family "Bacterial small subunit ribosomal RNA", at positions 355 to 796 of the family's 1533-position model. The record is from RNAcentral.
UGGGGAAUUUUGGACAAUGGGCGCAAGCCUGAUCCAGCCAUGCCGCGUGAGUGAAGAAGGCCUUCGGGUUGUAAAGCUCUUUUGUCAGGGAGCAAAGCCUUAUCGAUAAUACCGGUAAGGGAUGAGAGUACCUGAAGAAUAAGCACCGGCUAACUACGUGCCAGCAGCCGCGGUAAUACGUAGGGUGCGAGCGUUAAUCGGAAUUACUGGGCGUAAAGCGUGCGCAGGUGGUUUUGUAAGCCAGAUGUGAAAUCCCCGGGCUCAACCUGGGAAUGGCAUUUGGGACUGCAAGGCUAGAGUGUGGCAGAGGGGGGUGGAAUUCCGCGUGUAGCAGUGAAAUGCGUAGAGAUGCGGAGGAACACCGAUGGCGAAGGCAGCCCCCUGGGUUGACACUGACACUCAUGCACGAAAGCGUGGGGAGCAAACAGGAUUAGAUACCCCGGUAGUCC